Cyprinus carpio carpio is the source of this 485-nucleotide long non-coding RNA. Lineage: Eukaryota; Metazoa; Chordata; Actinopteri; Cypriniformes; Cyprinidae. The record is from Ensembl.
UUACAUCUACAGUUUUCCUCGAGUGAAUUCAGUGAAAUCCAGAUUGUGUCUGUCUCUGUCUGAGGUGAGCGGCACUGGCGUGAACGCGGCAAAAACUCCCGCGAACCAGCAGGUGCUUGUGCCAAACAAUUUCCGAAACACACAGAAAAGGAAAUUGAUAGGGGAAACCCUCAAACAUGCACCUCACCGUGCCAAGGUGGUCGCGACACCUGCAGCGGAAGAAGAACUUCGGGCACCUCCUGGGGAUGGAGACAAUGACUGACACACACGCACGCACGCACGCACACACACACACACACAGUAUAUAUUUAAUUUAAAUAAUUGUUUUUGUUACUUGUUGUUCAGCAUUUACUGAACAUAAAAUGAAUAUAAAUCUUUGUUCUUCUUGUUAUUACUGUUUCCUAAUAUUUGGAAAAACUUAUAGCCUAUUUUUUUAUUUACUGUGUUUGAUUUAUUUUCUAUACGCUUCCUGUGCAUGACCACAU